RNAcentral lists this ribosomal RNA (130 nucleotides) under uncultured bacterium. Its description in RNAcentral is "partial 23S ribosomal RNA". It matches the Rfam family "Bacterial large subunit ribosomal RNA", at positions 1 to 129 of the family's 2925-position model. The record is from RNAcentral.
AGGUCAAGCUACUAAGGGCGUACGGUGGAUGCCUAGGCGCUAAGAGUCGAAGAAGGGCGCGGUUAACAGCGAAAUGCCACGGGGAGUCGUAAGCAGGCUUUGAUCCGUGGAUACCCGAAUGGGGCAACCC